This is a regulatory RNA element of Gallionella capsiferriformans ES-2, 82 nucleotides long. It matches the Rfam family "SAH (S-adenosyl-L-homocysteine) riboswitch aptamer". Lineage: Bacteria; Pseudomonadati; Pseudomonadota; Betaproteobacteria; Nitrosomonadales; Gallionellaceae. The record is from Rfam.
CCUUCCGAGAGGUGCUGCAGCGGGUUUGAACGCCCCCGUCAGGCUCGGAGCAGUGAUUUCGUUUCAACGGCACCUAUUCAUU